GACGAACGCUGGCGGCGUGCCUAAUACAUGCAAGUCGAACGAGAGCGACCGGUGCUUGCACUGGUCAAUCUAGUGGCGAACGGGUGAGUAACACGUGGGUAACCUGCCCAUCAGAGGGGGAUAACAUCCGGAAACGGAUGCUAAAACCGCAUAGGUCUUCGAGCCGCAUGGCUUGAAGAGGAAAAGAGGCGCAAGCUUCUGCUGAUGGAUGGACCCGCGGUGCAUUAGCUAGUUGGUGAGGUAACGGCUCACCAAGGCCGUGAUGCAUAGCCGACCUGAGAGGGUGAUCGGCCACAUUGGGACUGAGACACGGCCCAAACUCCUACGGGAGGCAGCAGUAGGGAAUCUUCCGCAAUGGACGCAAGUCUGACAGAGCAACGCCGCGUGAGUGAAGAAGGUUUUCGGAUCGUAAAACUCUGUUGUUAGAGAAGAACAAGUGCUAGAGUAACUGUUAGCACCUUGACG
Molecule: ribosomal RNA, 465 nt
Filed under: Granulicatella adiacens
Lineage: Bacteria; Bacillati; Bacillota; Bacilli; Lactobacillales; Carnobacteriaceae
Description: bacterial SSU rRNA
Rfam family: Bacterial small subunit ribosomal RNA
Source: RNAcentral